GUUUGGAAACUCCGCUAAAGUCUUUGUUCUAUCUUUUUGUUCGCGUUUAUGCAGUUUUGUGCACAGUGCACAGUCAAUGAACACAUUGUAUUUCAGUAUAAUGAACGAAUCAUCCAACAGCGACGUUUCAGUUCAGUCAUUCAACCAUGUUAUUUAAAUAUUAAUAAACCUAAAACAAAGGAUGUGCACGGUGUAAGGUACGGCUCAACAUAAAAUCCCAGCUCAUUAUAACCACUUUGAAGUUUACUGAAUUUCCAGACCAUGUUUCGAAAGACUAUGCUCUAAUCGACCUUCUGUGUAUCUUUGUUCAGUGCCAGGAAGUGACUGCUUCUGUUUACUGUACUUGCCGAGUGACAAAUCAUGACGAAUAACACUUACACAGAAAACAAUGGAGAUGACCAUGAUUUCUGUAUAGUAUUCUGAGUUAUGAGGUUUCAUGGUUUUGAUGGCAUGCAACAUGUACGCACUACGUACCUAUUUUUUAGAAUAUUGCGAUGGUAACCGCGAAGGCCAGUGUGAACGCCUGAGCAGGCGUCUUGUUACAUUUGUUUGGCUCUGAGAGUGAGACUGCCCUUUGGUGGCACAGAAAUAUUAUCUUAGAUGCUUCCCUUGACAGGUAAAAUCGCCUGGCAUUAAACAGAGUAAAUACUAAAGUAGGGCAUACGUUAUACAGUUUUUCGUCAACCAACUGAACCAAGUGUGGACCGAUAUCACGUAUUAAUUCGGCAACUUUUUCUACUAAUAUCACUGUUUGAAAUGUAGAAGAUCCCUCACCGAAUUCUGCAACAUGUUUCAUACUGCGUCGCGGUGUCUUGUCAGGCCACCUUUGGAUUUGCAAACUUUCUCACAGAAACUGCAAAUCUGCAAGGAAACUGUUUCUUUCCUUCAAUCUAGAGACGAUGUAUUGAAAGGGAAAAUAUUCAUUAGGUAAAUAUCUAUGUUUACAGUAAUAUAUGUAUAAAAAUCAUCGUCUAAAUUUUAUAUUUCAUACCUCUUCAAGCGCUUGUUGAACUUCAAUCUGAACUUCAUCCACGUCCAUCUCGAGAAGCGCAGUUGUUUACUCUAAAUCGUCCUCAAAGGUGAAUAAGAGCUUUCUAAACGCUCAGUAUCAAUUUCCUCAUCUAUUUCCAUGAUUCCAAACCUUAAACGUGCGUUUUCAACGACCAUUUCGAACGGCUUUAGCAGUAUGACUUCGCUUCACUUGAAAUUGAUACUAUACACAGCGUCAGCAAUUUGGGUUAUCACACAUAAAAACGUCUCAAAAGUUGCCACUUACGAUGGAGAUUUGCGAUAAAACGUAUUCCACCCAAACCUCGUAUAACGAGCGAAAAUUAAAGAUUUCUAAGUUGUCAAUAGGGAAUUGUAUUAUAGAAUCACGCCAUGAUGCACUAUAACUGUCACGUGAUGCCCUCUAUC
Non-coding RNA from Paramuricea clavata, 1416 nucleotides. Lineage: Eukaryota; Metazoa; Cnidaria; Anthozoa; Malacalcyonacea; Plexauridae. The record is from the annotation of a GenBank genome assembly.